Non-coding RNA from Hemibagrus wyckioides, 372 nucleotides. The record is from the annotation of a RefSeq genome assembly. NCBI's taxonomy places the organism in Eukaryota, Metazoa, Chordata, Actinopteri, Siluriformes, Bagridae.
AUGUCGUUCCAGUUCGCUAUUUUUUACCUCUUUAAUAAAACGGUAAAGGUGGAAAGUGUGAAAUGUCAAAGUCUUGAGUCAUUACAAACAACAGUGCAGAAGAAACCUGGCGACACGCUGAGUCUCUCCUGCAGAGGAUCUGGAUUCACUUUUAGCAGCUACCAAAUGCACUGGAUCAGACAGCAGGCAAACAAACCACUGGUGUGGAUGGGGUACAUCUAUACUGAUGGCAGUAAAACUGGAUAUAGUACAUCUUUUGAAGGGAGAACAGAAAUCACCAGAGAUAAUUCCAACAGCAUGGCGUAUCUGAAACUCUCUGGGGUGACAGCAGAAGACACAGCUGUGUAUUACUGUGCCCGAAGAGCACUGUAG